AUUGAACGCUGGCGGCAGGCCUAACACAUGCAAGUCGAACGGUAACAGGAAGCAGCUUGCUGCUUUGCUGACGAGUGGCGGACGGGUGAGUAAUGUCUGGGAAACUGCCCGAUGGAGGGGGAUAACUACUGGAAGCGGUAGCUAAUACCGCAUAACGUCGCAAGACCAAAGAGGGGGACCUUAGGGCCUCUUGCCAUCGGAUGUGCCCAGAUGGGAUUAGCUAGUAGGUGGGGUAACGGCUCACCUAGGCGACGAUCCCUAGCUGGUCUGAGAGGAUGACCAGCCACACUGGAACUGAGACACGGUCCAGACUCCUACGGGAGGCAGCAGUGGGGAAUAUUGCACAAUGGGCGCAAGCCUGAUGCAGCCAUGCCGCGUGUAUGAAGAAGGCCUUCGGGUUGUAAAGUACUUUCAGCGGGGAGGAAGGGAGUAAAGUUAAUACCUUGGCUCAUUGACGUUACCCGCAGAAGAAGCACCGGCUAACUCCGUG
RNAcentral lists this ribosomal RNA (490 nucleotides) under uncultured bacterium. RNAcentral describes it as "partial 16S ribosomal RNA". It matches the Rfam family "Bacterial small subunit ribosomal RNA", at positions 30 to 507 of the family's 1533-position model. The record is from RNAcentral.